AUUGAACGCUGGCGGCAGGCCUAACACAUGCAAGUCGAGCGGAUGAAGGGAGCUUGCUCCUGGAUUCAGCGGCGGACGGGUGAGUAAUGCCUAGGAAUCUGCCUGGUAGUGGGGGAUAACGUCCGGAAACGGGCGCUAAUACCGCAUACGUCCUGAGGGAGAAAGUGGGGGAUCUUCGGACCUCACGCUAUCAGAUGAGCCUAGGUCGGAUUAGCUAGUUGGUGGGGUAAAGGCCUACCAAGGCGACGAUCCGUAACUGGUCUGAGAGGAUGAUCAGUCACACUUGAACUGAGACACGGUCCAGACUCCUACGGGAGGCAGCAGUUGGGAAUAUUUGACAAUGGGCGAAAGCCUGAUCCAGCCAUGCCGCGUGUGUGAAGAAGGUCUUCGGAUUGUAAAGCACUUUAAGUUGGGAGGAAGGGCAGUAAGUUAAUACCUUGCUGUUUUGACGUUACCAACAGAAUAAGCACCGGCUAACUUCGUG
RNAcentral lists this ribosomal RNA (484 nucleotides) under uncultured bacterium. RNAcentral describes it as "partial 16S ribosomal RNA". It matches the Rfam family "Bacterial small subunit ribosomal RNA", at positions 30 to 507 of the family's 1533-position model. The record is from RNAcentral.